AGCUCAGCUGGGAGAGCGCCACCUUGACAGGGGGGAGGUUGCUGGUUCGAGAUCAGUGGGAA
RNAcentral lists this transfer RNA (62 nucleotides) under Bacillus sp. (in: firmicutes). RNAcentral's name for it is "Bacillus sp. (in: Bacteria) tRNA-Val". The record is from RNAcentral. Lineage: Bacteria; Bacillati; Bacillota; Bacilli; Caryophanales; Bacillaceae. RNAcentral also lists the same sequence under 2 other names.